GCGGGGAUAGCUCAGUUGGGAGAGCGUCCGACUGAAGACCUGAAGGUCGCGUGUUCGAUCCACGCUUGCCGCA
This 73-nucleotide transfer RNA is filed under the name Macleaya cordata. It matches the Rfam family "tRNA". Rfam says of the family: Transfer RNA (tRNA) molecules are approximately 80 nucleotides in length. Their secondary structure includes four short double-helical elements and three loops (D, anti-codon, and T loops). The record is from Rfam by way of RNAcentral. Lineage: Eukaryota; Viridiplantae; Streptophyta; Magnoliopsida; Ranunculales; Papaveraceae.